AAAAUCAAUUUAUUCUGAAAGUGAAAUUUUAUUAAUAUUAAUAAUUUUCUAUUAUUUAUUUAAAAUAUUAUUGUUUUAUUAUUUAUUUAGAAAAAAUUUUUUUAAUUAUAGUUAACUUGUAUUGUGAAAGAAUAAUUAUUAUUAUUUAAAAGAAGAAUUUAAUUUUUGUACCUUGUGUAUCAGGGUUAAUUAAAUUAUUUAUAUUUAUUUAUAUAUCUCGAAUCUUAAAGAGCUAAGGUUUUAUUUUUUAAAUGUUUCAUAAUUUUAUAAAAUAUAAUUUUAGUAAUGAAAUGUUAUUCGUUUUUUGAUAUAUCUAGUUUUUUGAGAAAUAGAUUUAAUUUAUUUAUUUUUAAAAUUGAUUUAAUUUUUUAAUUUAAUUUUGGAAAUAAAAAAUUUUUUUAGGGAAAAGCUUGAAAAAAUAAAUUUAUUUAGUUUUGAAUAUUAAAUUUUUAAGUAGGAUUAUAAUUUUCCGUCUUUUUUAGAAUGUUAUAGUUUCUUUAUUAUUAAUUAUUAUUUAUAUAUUUAAUAAAUUUUUUAUCAAAAUGUUUAAUUUAAUAGUAAAAUUUAAGUAAUAAUGAUUGGAUUAGUAUAUUUUUAAGUAUUUAUAUAUUUUAACUGGAGAUAUAAAUAAUGAAUUCGGCAAUUUUAUUUUUCACCUGUUUAUUAAAAACAUGUCUUUUUGAAAAUGAUUUAAGGUUGGGCCUGCUCAAUGAUUAAAUUAAAUAGCUGCAGUAUUUUGACUGUACUAAGGUAGCAUAAUCAUUAGUUUCUUAAUUGGGAACUGGAAUGAAGGGUUUGAUGAAAAAAUAACUGUCUCUUUUAUAAAUAUAGAAAUUUAUUUUUAAGUAAAAAAGCUUAAAUAUAAUUAAAAGACGAGAAGACCCUAUAGAGUUUAAUAAUUUAAUAAUAAGUGUUUAUGAAGUUGAUAAUUUAUUUUAAUUACUAAAAUUAUUUGGUUGGGGUGAUUUAAAAAUUUGUUAAACUUUUUAUUUUUUGAAACUUAAAUGUAAGGUUUAUUUGAUCCAUUAGUAGUGAUUAUGAGAAUAAAUUACCUUAGGGAUAACAGCGUAAUCUUUUUUUAGAGUUCAAAUUAAUAAAAGGGAUUGCGACCUCGAUGUUGGAUUAAAAUUAACUUUUAGGUGCAGAAGCUAAAUAGUUGAGUCUGUUCGACUUUUAAAAUUUUACAUGAUCUGAGUUUAAACCGGUGUGAGCCAGGUUGGUUUCUAUCUUUAAUUAAAUAUGAAAUUUUAGUACGAAAGGACCAAAUUUUUAAUUAAUAAUUUUAUUUUUGAAUAUUAAUGUUAUUUUGGCAGAAUAGUGCAAUUGAUUUAGAAUCUUUAUAUGUAAUUUAAAUUACAAAUAA
This 1363-nucleotide ribosomal RNA is filed under the name Cryptocephalus ramburii. RNAcentral's name for it is "16S ribosomal RNA". The stretch from base 1059 to 1218 matches the Rfam family "Archaeal large subunit ribosomal RNA", at positions 2542 to 2701 of the family's 2987-position model. Lineage: Eukaryota; Metazoa; Arthropoda; Insecta; Coleoptera; Chrysomelidae. The record is from RNAcentral.